GACGAAGGGGGCUAGCGUUGUUCGGAAUUACUGGGCGUAAAGCGCGCGUAGGCGGCUCUUCAAGUCAGGCGUGAAAGCCCCGGGCUUAACCCGGGAAUAGCGCUUGAUACUGUUGGGCUUGAGUCCGGGAGAGGAUAGUGGAAUUCCCAGUGUAGAGGUGAAAUUCGUAGAUAUUGGGAAGAACACCAGUGGCGAAGGCGGCUAUCUGGACCGGAACUGACGCUGAGGCGCGAAAGCGUGGGGAG
Molecule: ribosomal RNA, 245 nt
Filed under: uncultured bacterium
Lineage: Bacteria
Description: partial 16S ribosomal RNA
Rfam family: Bacterial small subunit ribosomal RNA
Source: RNAcentral